GUCCAGCUGACGAGUCCCAAAAUAGGACGAAACGCGCAUCCUGGAU
This 46-nucleotide non-coding RNA is filed under the name Schistosoma mansoni. The record is from RNAcentral. Lineage: Eukaryota; Metazoa; Platyhelminthes; Trematoda; Strigeidida; Schistosomatidae.